RNAcentral lists this ribosomal RNA (481 nucleotides) under Codrus sp. M89. RNAcentral's name for it is "eukaryotic LSU rRNA". Lineage: Eukaryota; Metazoa; Arthropoda; Insecta; Hymenoptera; Proctotrupidae. The record is from RNAcentral.
AAACCGUUCAGGGGUAAACCUGAGAAACCCAAAAGAUCGAAGGGGGAGAUUCAACGUCAGCGGCAAGUCGGCUUCCAUGCGGCGCGCGAUGUCCGGGGCUUCGGCUCCGCGGCACGCCGUCGCCGUGGUCAUGUCCGGCGCCGUCGGCGUGCACUUCUCCCCUUGUAGAACGUCGCGACCCGCUGGGUGUCGGCCUACGGCUCGGGCGGUAGCCUGCGGCGCGUUGCUUUACGGCGCGCGUCCAGACCCCCGUACGCCCGGCCGGCUGCCCGGCGGUACACGCACGGUAUCGGGUCGCACACUGCCAGAUGUGCGUCGGGCCCGUCGCAAGCGCGGCCAUGCGAUACUCGGUGGUUCGGAAUUCAAAGCCGUCCCCGAGCCUGGCACGCUGUUGGUCGACGGUGUCCUCCGACUGGCCCGCCCGCCUCGCGCGGGCACGAAAUACCGGUCGGCGACGCUACUGCUUUGGGUACUUUCAGGA